RNAcentral lists this ribosomal RNA (484 nucleotides) under uncultured bacterium. Its description in RNAcentral is "partial 16S ribosomal RNA". It matches the Rfam family "Bacterial small subunit ribosomal RNA", at positions 30 to 507 of the family's 1533-position model. The record is from RNAcentral.
AUUGAACGCUGGCGGCAGGCCUAACACAUGCAAGUCGAGCGGAUGAAGGGAGCUUGCUCCUGGAUUCAGCGGCGGACGGGUGAGUAAUGCCUAGGAAUCUGCCUGGCAGUGGGGGAUAACGUCCGUAAACGGGCGCUAAUACCGCAUACGUCCUGAGGGAGAAAGUGGGGGAUCUUCGGACCUCACGCUAUCAGAUGAGCCUAGGUCGGAUUAGCUAGUUGGUGGGGUAAAGGCCUACCAAGGCGACGAUCCGUAACUGGUCUGAGAGGAUGAUCAGUCACACUGGAACUGAGACACGGUCCAGACUCCUACGGGAGGCAGCAGUGGGGAAUAUUGGACAAUGGGCGAAAGCCUGAUGCAGCCAUGCCGCGUGUGUGAAGAAGGUCUUCGGAUUGUAAAACACUUUUAGUAGGGAGGAAGAGAAGUAAGUGAAUACCUUGCUGUUUUGACGUUACCAACAGAAUAAGCACCGGCUAACUUCGUG